GUCCACGCCGUAAACGAUGAAUGCUAGCUGUUGGGGUGCUUGCACCUCAGUAGCGCAGCUAACGCUUUAAGCAUUCCGCCUGGGGAGUACGGUCGCAAGAUUAAAACUCAAAGGAAUUGACGGGGGCCCCGCACAAGCGGUGGAGCAUGUGGUUUAAUUCGAAGCAACGCGCAGAACCUUACCAUCCCUUGACAUGUCGUGCCAUCCGGAGAGAUCCGGGGUUCCCUUCGGGGACGCGAACACAGGUGCUGCAUGGCUGUCGU
Molecule: ribosomal RNA, 263 nt
Filed under: uncultured bacterium
Lineage: Bacteria
Description: partial 16S ribosomal RNA
Rfam family: Bacterial small subunit ribosomal RNA
Source: RNAcentral